RNAcentral lists this ribosomal RNA (446 nucleotides) under uncultured bacterium. Its description in RNAcentral is "partial 16S ribosomal RNA". It matches the Rfam family "Bacterial small subunit ribosomal RNA", at positions 338 to 795 of the family's 1533-position model. The record is from RNAcentral.
CCUACGGGUGGCAGCAGUCGAGAAUCAUUCACAAUGGGGGAAACCCUGAUGGUGCGACGCCGCGUGGGGGAAUGAAGGUCUUCGGAUUGUAAACCCCUGUCAUGUGGGAGCAAAUUAAAAAGAUAGUACCACAAGAGGAAGAGACGGCUAACUCUGUGCCAGCAGCAGCGGUAAUACAGAGGUCUCAAGCGUUGUUCGGAAUCACUGGGCGUAAAGCGUGCGUAGGCUGUUUCGUAAGUCGUGUGUGAAAGGCGCGGGCUCAACCCGCGGACGGCACAUGAUACUGGGAGACUAGAGUAAGGGAGGGGGAAGCGGAAUUCUCGGUGUAGCAGUGAAAUGCGUAGAUAUCGAGAGGAACACUCGUGGCGAAGGCGGGUUCCUGGACAUUAACUGACGCUGAGGCACGAAGGCCAGGGGAGCGAAAGGGAUUAGAUACCCGUGUAGUC